This 625-nucleotide long non-coding RNA is filed under the name Calidris pugnax (ruff). Its description in RNAcentral is "lncRNA (ENSCPUG00000016534.1)". The record is from RNAcentral. Lineage: Eukaryota; Metazoa; Chordata; Aves; Charadriiformes; Scolopacidae.
AGGAAGGGUGCUGGGGUGAUCCUGGGUCCCCACGGAGCCUCAGCUGCCUUUUCUCCCUCUCCCCUCUCUCGCAGCGAGUACAGAAAGAAGCUAAAGCAGAUCAGAGGAAAAUAACUAUCGGUGUGGACAAAGUGCCAGAACACAAAUGACAGACGACGUAAGAACAAUUGAAAAGCAUUUAAUAAGCAUCACCUCCUUCCUAAUUGUCAAUGGGAGCUGUUGAGUUUUACCUUAAGUUGUCAGAUAAGUACUGAAGUUUCACUGAGAUAUGAAGAGCCAAGAGAUGCCUGGGUGCUCUGAGACAUGGCCAGGAAAACGUUCUGUUUCAGGCCAGUGGCAGGACAGAAGCCAGCCGAGAGCAUCCCGGUAAUGAGAGAUCAACUCACGUAGAACUGAUCCGGAAAGAAAACGUGGGUACAGAAUAAAGAAAAGCGGAAGGAUAAAAGGUCAGAAGGGCUUCAAACUGGACGCUGCCUCCAGCUGUGCCUGCUGUGCCCACAGCAGGACUGCUCUCAGCAGCCUAAUGAGCUCUGGGAAGUGCAUUCCAAUAAUUCCCCCCUGCGAACCGGCACGAAGCCGGGGUCCAGGCGUGCACUCAGGGCCAGUGCUGGAGGCUGAAGCCACG